This 772-nucleotide ribosomal RNA is filed under the name Gyrinicola japonica. RNAcentral's name for it is "partial large subunit ribosomal RNA". It matches the Rfam family "Eukaryotic large subunit ribosomal RNA", at positions 349 to 926 of the family's 3401-position model. The record is from RNAcentral. Lineage: Eukaryota; Metazoa; Nematoda; Chromadorea; Rhabditida; Pharyngodonidae.
UACCGUGAGGGAAAGUUGCAAAGAACUUUGAAGAGAGAGUUCAAGAGGGCGUGAAACCGCUGAGAAGGAAACGGAUAGAGUUGACGAAACACAGCGGCAUUCAUCCGACCUGUCCUGGCAACUGGCUGCCCGGUAUAGAUCGUUCUCCUCGGGGAAUGACGGUCUGGCUGUCAGCUUAGUCGGCUGGUUGGUGCUUUUGCCGUUGGUAUGCGCGGAGACGUUCGCUGUGGCGUGUCGACGUCGAUGUCAGAGGACCAGUGCCAAAUGGUACUGGAAACCUGACUCGGCUUAGGUAUGUUCGCGGUGAAACGGUAACCACAUACGCCGCUUGCUAGUUGCGUAGCUGCCUCUGCAUAGUUGGGUGCGUUGUUGGGCGAUCGCGUGCGAUUUGUCUACAGCUGUAUUCCGGCUUGUUUCUGGCUAGUUACGUUGGCGGUGUAUCUCCGUGUAAAAGUCAGCCACCUAUCCGACCCGUCUUGAAACACGGACCAAGGAGUUUAGCAUAUGCGCAAGUCAUUGGGUGGUAAACCUAAAGGCGUAAUGAAAGUAAAGACUGCUUCGAGCGGUUGAUAUGGGAUCUGUGCUUGCUUGCAGGCGCAGCGCACCAUAGCCCCGUUCUUGUUGCUUGCAAUAGGGCGGAGGUAGAGCGUAUACGCUGAGACCCGAAAGAUGGUGAACUAUGCCUGAGCAGGAUGAAGCCAGAGGAAACUCUGGUGGAAGUCCGAAGCGGUUCUGACGUGCAAAUCGAUCGUCUGACUUGGGUAUAGGGCGA